UAUAUUUAAAUAAUACUCCCGCAGUUCCAUAUUAGUUUAUCAUCUUACUAAAAAUAGUUGUUCCAUAUUAGUUGUCCAUUUACUAAAUCAAGAAAGAAUUAAUUAAAUUUUUUGUAUACUACCUUUGCAAAUAAUUCUAUUUGAAUGUGUUCACAUUUAUUUGUAAAAUUUCCAAGAAAUUUUUUAAGGGGUGAAUUAAUAACCUUAUCUUAUUUUUAUGAAUUUCUUACCAUGCAUGUUAAAAAGGAAAAUGAUUAACUAAUAUGGGAUGGGGGAG
Molecule: long non-coding RNA, 277 nt
Filed under: Solanum tuberosum (potato)
Lineage: Eukaryota; Viridiplantae; Streptophyta; Magnoliopsida; Solanales; Solanaceae
Description: long non-coding RNA (STUB_LNC004535)
Source: RNAcentral